UCUAUACCAUGAGAUUGUCUUCACUCCUC
Molecule: non-coding RNA, 29 nt
Filed under: Mus musculus (house mouse)
Lineage: Eukaryota; Metazoa; Chordata; Mammalia; Rodentia; Muridae
Source: RNAcentral